ACAACAUUCGGACCGUCUGUCUAUCAAGCAAUUUCACCCGCUCGAUGGAAGAUCUUUCCUUUGUCGU
Molecule: microRNA precursor, 67 nt
Filed under: Bombyx mori (domestic silkworm)
Lineage: Eukaryota; Metazoa; Arthropoda; Insecta; Lepidoptera; Bombycidae
Description: mir-2774 microRNA precursor family
Rfam family: mir-2774 microRNA precursor family
Source: Rfam by way of RNAcentral